UUUUGCGGAUUUCUUCGGAUUGAAGCAAUUGUGACUGAGCGGCGGACGGGUGAGUAACGCGUGGGUAACCUGCCUCAUACAGGGGGAUAACAGUUAGAAAUGACUGCUAAUACCGCAUAAGCGCACAGGACCGCAUGGUCGAGUGUGAAAAACUCCGGUGGUGUGAGAUGGACCCGCGUCUGAUUAGCUGGUUGGUAAGGUAACGGCCCACCAAGCCUUCGAUGGAUAGGGGUUCUGAGAGGAAGGUCCCCACAUUGGAACUGAGACACGGUCCAAACUCC
This 281-nucleotide ribosomal RNA is filed under the name uncultured Eubacteriales bacterium. Its description in RNAcentral is "uncultured Clostridiales bacterium partial 16S ribosomal RNA". It matches the Rfam family "Bacterial small subunit ribosomal RNA", at positions 62 to 339 of the family's 1533-position model. The record is from RNAcentral. Lineage: Bacteria; Bacillati; Bacillota; Clostridia; Eubacteriales.